AUUUCAGCUAAGUUGAGUUGU
Molecule: microRNA, 21 nt
Filed under: Prunus persica (peach)
Lineage: Eukaryota; Viridiplantae; Streptophyta; Magnoliopsida; Rosales; Rosaceae
Description: ppe-miR8131-5p
Source: miRBase by way of RNAcentral